Long non-coding RNA from Papaver somniferum (opium poppy), 1113 nucleotides. RefSeq lists it as uncharacterized. The transcript has 2 exons. The record is from RefSeq and is a predicted model, not a curated record. NCBI's taxonomy places the organism in Eukaryota, Viridiplantae, Streptophyta, Magnoliopsida, Ranunculales, Papaveraceae.
UGUAAUGCUGCUAAUGCUCUACCAAAUAAGGAAAGAUUUUCUACAGAAAAUAUUCACAACAGUUUCUGUUAAUCAUCAGAUCAACACCCACUCACCGCCAUGAUUCUGUUACAGUAGAUAUUAAAAUCAACAAUUUCACAGAUAAACCCCAAAUAUUUCUUUCUAGUUUCUCUACUCUAUUUCAAUUAGUUAUUCAGCAAAAUGAAAACCCCUGAAACUAAUGGAUAAAAGAAGAGAAGAAGAAGAAGACAUAAAGGAAUUGUUUAAGAACAUCAUGGAAGGUUACAGUGACAAGGUUAUACCAUUUUCGUCUGAUUUAAUUACUGACAACGACGACAAAAAUAUCACCGACGGAAAUGCUAGUGCCGAUCAUCAGAUGGUGAAAACUUGUUUUUCAAUCAAGAAGAAAGGUAGUACUAAAAGAGUAAAAGCAGAAGUUUCCCAUCAAUCGUUAGUAUCAAUGGAGACUAUUCAGAAAAAAAAAGUAAGAGAGAUUUGAUCCAACCACAUUUAUCUGAGAAAGAAAGAAGAAUUAAAAUGGCUGAAAAAUACUCUGUUCUUCAAUCUCUGCUCCCUAAUCUAAAAUAUAUAUAAGAGAUCACAAACUGUGAUAAUAGAAGAAGCAAUAAAAUACAUAAGGAAUCUCGAAGAAGAAUUGGAAAAAUUAGAAGAAUCAAUUUCAGGUUAGAAGAAGAAGAAGAAGAAGAAGCUUUUUUCAGGUCAGAAAUUCUACUGCUGAUGUAGAAUCAUCUAAAACAACAACAACAACAAAUUCAUUCAGAAAUUCUAUUGUUGAUGUAACAAUUUCAGGUCAGGCAGCUUUUUUUGGAAUACAAGUAGUAAUUAACAACAGUGCUGAAGAACCAUUUUUAUUUUCUAGUGUGAUGAAAGUGUUUGAAUAUUAUAAAACAGAGAUACUAACAACAACAAUCACUACAAGAAAUGAGUUGAAGAUGAAGAUCAUAAGAUUAAGUAUGACUGUUUUGAUUAAUGAAGCCGAAGGAGGGGGCAGUAUUAUUGAGGAAAUCAAAAAGGGUAUUAAUAGAUUAUUUGUAUGAAGUUAAUUACUAGUAUUAAUCAUUAAUCAGGGUCUCUCUUUUACUUGCUCUAAUA